GGGGAUGCAAGGCAUAGACAGUAGGCCUGCUCUCACUGAUGCAUACUGAGCAUGGACGUAAUCUCAUAAAAAUUCGUCUAAACUCUAAUUGCAAAAUUAGGAUCAAAGCAAUCUCCAUACUUUAGUAUGGCAGACUUUGCUCCAGCAUACGCGUAAGCGUUCCUGGCGUCUUUACCAUAGACUUCCGAUAUAUGGCUAAAGGUGUAAUAUUAUCGGGAUAAGAAAAAAUACUGCUUGAUAUUUUUUACUAAAACCAAAAGCUCGAUUGAAAAAUAUUUUGUUCGUUUCUUAAUUUUUCAAUUUAAAAUAAAAAACGAAAUAAGUAUGUAGAUUUCCUUGGAGUAACCUUCUGCACGGGGAUUCGAUUUCCCCCAUCUCCACUA
Molecule: transfer-messenger RNA, 383 nt
Filed under: Candidatus Nomurabacteria bacterium
Lineage: Bacteria; Candidatus Nomuraibacteriota
Rfam family: transfer-messenger RNA
About the family: Bacterial tmRNA, also known as 10Sa RNA or SsrA, is named for its dual tRNA and mRNA-like properties. Its role is to liberate the mRNA from a stalled ribosome.
Source: RNAcentral